GAGUUCCUCCCCAGCUUCUGGCUCCUAGGGUCAAGGCGAUUUCAGGCUUGGAAAGGGACUUCCGUCGCAAAUCUUUCUGUUUUUGCUAAAGCUGCGGUCGCAAGGCCUAGUGAUCGCCUGAAACGUCGUUUUAAAGGGGCGUUGCAUGGAAUGUUCGGCCAUCCCUGCUGAAAGUUUUUACCUCUUUCUCCAGUUCUCCACCCUGCACUGUGUACUCCGAGGCCGGUCUCCCAGAUUGGCCUUCUCUAUUUCGGCCACCCUGGGCGGUCCGUGACUUGGCGUCUUCUGCCCUCGCCUCCUCAUUCGGGUUCCCCUAGGGGUCUCUCCCGGGCAGGCUGCCUGCCCCGGGCCCCAGCCCUGCCGUUGGGUGGGUAUCCUGAGCUCACUGGAACCCCGGGCGCCUUUUCUUCAGCCUUUCCCAGUGCGUCCCACUGGCUCACGGUAGACUGGUUUCCACGUGUCAUUGACUACAAAGUGGCCCUGCCAGUGCUUUUUGAGAUAAAAAUUAUCCAGAAAAAAAAAAGUUCCUGAGCAAAUUACCACUUGUUAACUAAAUGCACAACAUAGUGUGGGACUAUGUUCAGAUGAAAAUCAAAGAUACAGAGAGCUUUUAUUUUUAAUCCAUGAGGAAACAUUAAAAAUAUAUCAGCCUGUGGAGACCGAAGUUACAUUUGAAGAGUAAUGACCUAAAAUGCUCACAUUUAAAGAUGAAAUUGAGACCGUGGGAAACUAUUUGCAAUGAAAAAGAUUAAGGGGAAAGGGAAGAUUAAAAAUUAGGAUUUUGUGAAGUUCUUGUUAAUUUUUUAAAAUUAGCGGAGUGCAUCAUGAUUGAGACUUUGAACACCAAAUUCCAUUCCAAAGUAUUGCCAAAACAGUAUUUUUCUAAAAACAAGUUUUUGAUUGUAUAAAUAAUAGAGCUCUCUGUAGGA
This 929-nucleotide long non-coding RNA is filed under the name Homo sapiens (human). RNAcentral describes it as "non-protein coding lnc-TANC1-6:2". The record is from RNAcentral. Lineage: Eukaryota; Metazoa; Chordata; Mammalia; Primates; Hominidae.